UACGGAGGGGGCUAGCGUUGUUCGGAAUUACUGGGCGUAAAGCGCGCGUAGGCGGACCUGCAAGUCGGGGGUGAAAGCCCGAGGCUCAACCUCGGAACUGCCUUUAAUACUGGGUAUCUCGAGUUCGAGAGAGGUGAGUGGAAUUCCGAGUGUAGAGGUGAAAUUCGUAGAUAUUCGGAGGAACACCAGUGGCGAAGGCGGCUCACUGGCUCGAUACUGACGCUGAGGUGCGAAAGCGUGGGGAGCAAACAGG
This 253-nucleotide ribosomal RNA is filed under the name uncultured bacterium. RNAcentral's name for it is "partial 16S ribosomal RNA". It matches the Rfam family "Bacterial small subunit ribosomal RNA", at positions 524 to 776 of the family's 1533-position model. The record is from RNAcentral.